This 331-nucleotide ribosomal RNA is filed under the name uncultured Oscillospiraceae bacterium. RNAcentral's name for it is "partial 16S ribosomal RNA". Lineage: Bacteria; Bacillati; Bacillota; Clostridia; Eubacteriales; Oscillospiraceae. The record is from RNAcentral.
GGAGUCUGGGCCGUAUCUCAGUCCCAAUGUGGCCGUUCAACCUCUCAGUCCGGCUACUGAUCGCAGCCUUGGUAGGCCGUUACCCCACCAACCAGCUAAUCAGAUGUGAGCCCAUCUUUCAGCGGAUUGCUCCUUUGGUAUUUAGGAGAUGCCUCCAUAAUACAUUAUGCGGUAUUAGCAGUCGUUUCCAACUGUUGUCCCCCUCUGAAAGGCAGGUUGCUCACACAUUACUCACCCGUCCGCCACUAAGUCAAAUCUCAUCUUCGACGAAUCUCCGAUGAAAAGUGUUUCGUUCGACUUGCAUGUGUUAGGCACGCCGCCAGCGUUCAUC